This 253-nucleotide ribosomal RNA is filed under the name uncultured bacterium. RNAcentral's name for it is "partial 16S ribosomal RNA". It matches the Rfam family "Bacterial small subunit ribosomal RNA", at positions 524 to 776 of the family's 1533-position model. The record is from RNAcentral.
UACGGGGGGGGCAAGCGUUGUUCGGAAUUACUGGGCGUAAAGGGCUCGUAGGCGGUUUGUCGCGUCGGGAGUGAAAACUCAGGGCUUAACCCUGAGCCUGCUUCCGAUACGGGCAGACUAGAGGUAUGCAGGGGAGAACGGAAUUCCUGGUGUAGCGGUGAAAUGCGCAGAUAUCAGGAGGAACACCGGUGGCGAAGGCGGUUCUCUGGGCAUUACCUGACGCUGAGGAGCGAAAGUGUGGGGAGCGAACAGG